GACCUCAUCAGCCGCCUCCCCGACGAGGUACUCGGUACCGUCAUCUCCCUCCUCCCCACCAGGGACGGCGCGCGCACGCAGGUCCUCUCGCGCCGGUGGCGUCCCCUCUGGCUCUCGUCCAAUGCGCCGCUCAACCUCGGCGCUGACUUCGCCCUCCGCGGGGAGGAGUGCACCCUCUGCGGUGCCACCCACGAGUGCAUGCACAAGCGCAUCGCCUUCGUCUCCAAGAUCCUUGCCAACCACCCGGGCCCGACCCGACGCUUUGCACUCCACCUCGUAUACUGGCCCAACAUCCCGGGCGUUGUCGAUGGCUGGUUCCGCUCCAGGCCCCUCUCCGGCCUCCAGGACCUCGAGGUCGUCAACAAAUCGAGCCGCUACGUGCUGCUGCCGUCGCACGCGCUGAUCCGCUUCGCGCCCACGCUUUGCCUGCUCAGCCUCAGCCAGUGUCGAUUUCCGGACCUGGGUGUGCCACCGAGUUUUCCGCACCUCAAAGAGCUUAUCAUGUACGAUGUCGGUAUCUCGGAGGACUCUUUCAAAACCUUCAUCUCCAGGUGCUCUGUUUUGCAAAGCGUUUCACUGCACAACAUGGAAUGUGGCCGCGUUUGCAUCAACUCGCCGACUAUCAGGAGCAUGAGCUUCUACGGCCGUUGGAGAAGUGUCAUCACUUUUCAGGAGCUGGUCAUUGAGGAUGCCCCUUCCCUUGAGAGGUUGGUACCACUUGAUCCAGACGGUGGUCCAGCGACCAUCCACAUAAUCCAGGCACCUAAACUGAAGAUACUUGGUUUGUUAUCUGGAGGCAUAUCCACACUCCGCAUUGGAACCACGGUUUUUCAGGUUAGCUGCAAGCCCAAUCGGUCGGGUCAUUCAUCGUUUUCUACAUGCAUGGUAUUAUUCUCAUAUCACACUUGUUGUCCUUUUCUCCAGAAAAUGGUUGCCGUCAGCUUGAUAACCAAAAUGCACACAGUUAAGAUUUUACUUCUUGACUCUAUUGGUCCUAAUCUGGACUCAGUUGUUAACUUCCUCAAGUGCUUCCCUUGCUUGGAGAAGUUGUAUGUCAUUGUUUUGCAUUCAGAAAAGGAUAUUAACAAUGUGCGGGAGUAUGACCCACUUGAUCCAAUUGAAUGCCUUGAACUCAAUCUAAAAAAGGUGGUGUUGAAGAAUUACGAUGGUAUCAAGAGGGCAAUAAUUAAUUUUGCCAAGUUCUUUAUUUUGAAUGCCAAAGUGCUGGAGGAAAUGGAAAUCGGAGUCCUCGGCCAUGGCAAUGACAAACGGAUGCAGUAUCUACAUGAAGAGCUACAGGUGGAGAAUAGAGCUUCUCAAGAUGCACAAAUUGAACUAAAGAGGGAUGUACGACAAGAUUUCAAACACCAUAGGCAUACCCAUGAUUUUUCGGUGGCGGACCCUUUUGAUAGG
This 1413-nucleotide ribosomal RNA is filed under the name Triticum aestivum (bread wheat). RNAcentral's name for it is "partial small subunit ribosomal RNA". The record is from RNAcentral. Lineage: Eukaryota; Viridiplantae; Streptophyta; Magnoliopsida; Poales; Poaceae.